UACGUAGGGGGCAAGCGUUGUCCGGAUUUAUUGGGCGUAAAGAGCUCGUAGGCGGUUCGGUUAGUCAGGUGUGAAAUCUCCACGCUCAACGUGGAGGGGCCACCUGAUACUGCCGUGACUUGAGUCCGGUAGGGGAGUGUGGAAUUCCCGGUGUAGCGGUGAAAUGCGCAGAUAUCGGGAGGAACACCCAUAGCGAAGGCAGCACUCUGGGCCGGUACUGACGCUGAGGAGCGAAAGCGUGGGGAGCAAACAGG
This 254-nucleotide ribosomal RNA is filed under the name uncultured bacterium. Its description in RNAcentral is "partial 16S ribosomal RNA". It matches the Rfam family "Bacterial small subunit ribosomal RNA", at positions 524 to 776 of the family's 1533-position model. The record is from RNAcentral.